GCCUCUGUAGCUCAGUUGGUUAGACUAAGAGCGCUGCACCGGAAUCGCAGGGCCGUAGGUUCAAUUCCUACCAGAGGAC
Paramuricea clavata is the source of this 79-nucleotide non-coding RNA. The record is from the annotation of a GenBank genome assembly. NCBI's taxonomy places the organism in Eukaryota, Metazoa, Cnidaria, Anthozoa, Malacalcyonacea, Plexauridae.